RNAcentral lists this ribosomal RNA (271 nucleotides) under uncultured archaeon. RNAcentral describes it as "partial 16S ribosomal RNA". It matches the Rfam family "Archaeal small subunit ribosomal RNA", at positions 477 to 747 of the family's 1478-position model. The record is from RNAcentral.
CUGCAGCCCGAGUGGUGAUCGAUUUUAUUGGGCCUAAAGCGUCCGUAGCCGGUUUGACAAAUCUUCUGUGAAAUUGUACAGCUCAACUGUACAACGUGCAGAAGACACUAUCAGACUUGGAACCGGGAGGGGUAUGGAAUAUUCCAGGGGAAGCGGUAAAAUGCUAUAAUCCCUGGAGGACUACCUAUGGCGAAGGCACCAUACCAGAACGGAUUCGACGGUGAGGGACGAAAGCUAGGGGAGCGAUCCGGAUUAGAGACCCGAGUAGUCC